This 906-nucleotide ribosomal RNA is filed under the name Palmaria palmata (dulse). RNAcentral's name for it is "eukaryotic LSU rRNA". It matches the Rfam family "Eukaryotic large subunit ribosomal RNA", at positions 194 to 1181 of the family's 3401-position model. The record is from RNAcentral. Lineage: Eukaryota; Rhodophyta; Florideophyceae; Palmariales; Palmariaceae.
AAUGAAGCGCCAUGGAGGGUGAGAGCCCCGUCCAUCCCGCACAGGAUCCAUUCGUACAAGGACGCUUCAACCGAGUCGGGUAGCUUGGGAAUGCUGCUCUAAUUGGUGGUAAAUCUCAUCAAAGGCUAAAUAGUGGUGGGAGACCGAUAGCGAACAAGUACCGUGAGGGAAAGAUGGAAAGAACUUUGAAAAGAGAGUGAAAAGCACUUGAAACCGUCACGGGGGAAGCGGAUUGCGUGAGUGAUGGUGUCGCUUGUUCAGCGCUUUAUUGCGUGCAUUCUGGCGGCGCCGUGCCGGCGUGGCUGGCUGGACUGUGAUUUUGACAGUCUCGGCUGGUGAGGGCUCCCUCGUAUGAGGUGAGGACGCGGGCAAAAUGACGCAAUACGACCCGUCUUGAAACACGGACCAAGGAGUCUAGCACGGCUGCGAGUCGAAGAGUGAUUAAACUCAAGGGCGCAGUGAAAGCGAAAUUAUAAGCAAAUUGGGGAGGCGUUGCGUUUUUAACAAAAUGUCCUACCUCGAGCAUUUGUGCUGGGACCCGAAAGAUGGUGAACUAUGCCGGAGUAGGGCAAAGCCAGAGGAAACUCUGGUGGAGGCUCGUAGCGAUGCUGACGUGCAAAUCGCUCGUCGAACUUGGGUAUAGGGGCGAAAGACUAAUCGAACCAUCUAGUAGCUGGUUCCCUCCGAAGUUUCUCUCAGGAUAGCGGGCCGACACGCGUUUGUUGUUUUGUGCGGUAAAGCGAAUGAUUAGUGCAUUUGGGGUACGAAGUACUUCGGGCGAUUCUCAAACUUUAAAUGCGCAAGGGGGUGGCUGCUUAAUUGAGCCUACUCUUUGAAAAACGUCGGCCCUGUGGGCCACUUUUGGUAAGCAGAACUGGCGAUAAGGGAUGAACCUUAAGCGCGGUU